This 258-nucleotide long non-coding RNA is filed under the name Capsicum annuum. RNAcentral's name for it is "long non-coding RNA (CANN_LNC001325)". The record is from RNAcentral. Lineage: Eukaryota; Viridiplantae; Streptophyta; Magnoliopsida; Solanales; Solanaceae.
CCAUGGGCUAUGUUGGUCCACUGUUACCCCCUGAAUGGUCCCCAGUGCAUGUAGCCGCAUGAAUCAGAGAUAUCAUAGGGGACGGGGAUUCUCGUGUACUCUUUGCCCUCCAUGAUACAGAUAUGCAAGUAUAACUUAGGGGAUUACCAUUUACCCCGCAAGUAUAUGGUCAGCAUGAUCAACCCUCAUGUCGACAAAUAUGAGUUUCCAGUGUCCGUCUGUUGGACUCACACCUUUACGGUCAGCUAUCACACCCCG